AAUAAAAACUAUAAUACUAAUAUAUAUAAUAUGAUAAUAAUUAUAUAUUAAAAAUAUAAAAAAUGUAAAAUAAAAAUAUAUAUAUAAUAUUUUUUAAUUUUUUUUUCCUUUCAACUAAACAUCCGUAGUGAAAAACUACUUUUCUUUUCCUACAAACUAAACAUAAACGACGUAAAAUAUUUUUUUCACCAAAAUUUUUUUUUUCACAGUUUUACGUGGAACCAAACACACCCUUAGGGAGAUUCCCAUCAUACAAUUUUAACUGUUCAAUAUAAGAAUAUGAUUAAUAUAAAAAUAUAAAAAAUAUUAUUUUUUAUCAGCUUAAGUAAUUAGAGAUUAAUGGUUGCUCCAUAUGCUUUAACAUUA
This 366-nucleotide long non-coding RNA is filed under the name Ananas comosus (pineapple). RNAcentral's name for it is "long non-coding RNA (ACOM_LNC021824)". The record is from RNAcentral. Lineage: Eukaryota; Viridiplantae; Streptophyta; Magnoliopsida; Poales; Bromeliaceae.